Molecule: ribosomal RNA, 119 nt
Filed under: Pteropus alecto (black flying fox)
Lineage: Eukaryota; Metazoa; Chordata; Mammalia; Chiroptera; Pteropodidae
Source: RNAcentral
ACCUACAGCCAUGCCACCCUGAACGUGCCUGAUCUCGUCUGAUCUCGGAAGCUAAGCAGGAUCGGGCCUGUUUAAUACUUGGAUGGGAGACCACCUAGGAAGACCGGAUGCUGUGGGCG